This 901-nucleotide ribosomal RNA is filed under the name uncultured Thermoplasmatales archaeon. RNAcentral describes it as "bacterial SSU rRNA". It matches the Rfam family "Archaeal small subunit ribosomal RNA", at positions 6 to 913 of the family's 1478-position model. The record is from RNAcentral. Lineage: Archaea; Methanobacteriati; Thermoplasmatota; Thermoplasmata; Thermoplasmatales.
GGUUGAUCCUGCCGGCGCUCACCGCUCUUGGAAUCCGAUUAAGCCAUGUGAGUCGAGAGGGUUCGGCCCUCGGCAAACUGCUCAGUAACACGUGGAUAACCUAACCUAAGGUGGGAGAUAAUCUCGGAAAACUGAGGCUAAUAUCCCAUAGACCUUGAUGACUGGAAUGUUUUGAGGUUUAAAGUUACGACGCCUUAGGAUGGGUCUGCGGCCUAUCAGGUUGUAGUUAGUGUAAAGGACUAACUAGCCGACGACGGGUACGGGCCAUGGGAGUGGUUGCCCGGAGAUGGACUCUGUGACACGAGUCCAGGCCCUACGGGGCGCAGCAGGCGCGAAAACUUUGCAAUGCGCGAAAGCGCGACAAGGGGAUUCCAAGUGCAUGCACUAAGUGUAUGCUUUUCGUGAGUGUAAAAAGCUCACGGAAUAAGGGCUGGGUAAGACUGGUGCCAGCCGCCGCGGUAAUACCAGCGGCCCUAGUGGUGAUCGUUUUUAUUGGGCCUAAAGCGUCCGUAGCCGGUUCGGUAAAUCUCUGGGUAAAUCGUUGGGCUUAACCCAACGAAUUCUGGGGAGACUGCCGAACUUGGGACCGGGAGAGGUCGGAGGUACUCCAGGGGUAGGGGUGAAAUCCUGUAAUCCUUGGGGGACCACCGGUGGCGAAAGCGUCCGACCAGAACGGGUCCGACGGUAAGGGACGAAGCCCUGGGUCGCGAACCGGAUUAGAUACCCGGGUAGUCCAGGGUGUAAACGCUGUGCGCUUGGUGUAGGGGGUCCUACGAGGGCAUCCUGUGCCGGAGAGAAGUUGUUAAGCGCACCGCCUGGGGAGUACGGUCGCAAGACUGAAACUUAAAGGAAUUGGCGGGGGAGCACAGCAACGGGAGGAGCGUGCGGUUUAAUUGGAGUC